UACGAAGGGGGCUAGCGUUGCUCGGAAUUACUGGGCGUAAAGCGCACGUAGGCGGCUUCUUAAGUCGGUGGUGAAAUCCUGGAGCUCAACUCCAGAACUGCCUUCGAUACUGGGAAGCUCGAGUCCGGGAGAGGUGAGUGGAACUGCGAGUGUAGAGGUGAAAUUCGUAGAUAUUCGGAAGAACACCAGUGGCGAAGGCGGCUCACUGGACUGGUAUUGACGCUGAGGUGCGAAAGCGUGGGGAGCAAACAGG
RNAcentral lists this ribosomal RNA (253 nucleotides) under uncultured bacterium. Its description in RNAcentral is "partial 16S ribosomal RNA". It matches the Rfam family "Bacterial small subunit ribosomal RNA", at positions 524 to 776 of the family's 1533-position model. The record is from RNAcentral.